GUCCCUAUCGUCUAGCCCGGUUAGGACACUGCCUUCUCAAGGUAGAAACUGGGGUUCGAAUCCCUGUGGGGACGCCA
RNAcentral lists this transfer RNA (77 nucleotides) under Verrucomicrobiota bacterium. RNAcentral describes it as "Verrucomicrobia bacterium (freshwater metagenome) tRNA-Glu". It matches the Rfam family "tRNA". From Rfam's summary of the family: Transfer RNA (tRNA) molecules are approximately 80 nucleotides in length. Their secondary structure includes four short double-helical elements and three loops (D, anti-codon, and T loops). The record is from RNAcentral. Lineage: Bacteria; Pseudomonadati; Verrucomicrobiota.